GGAAAAGGAACUAACAAGGAUUCCCCUAGUAACUGCGAGUGAAGCGGGAAAAGCUCAAAUUUAAAAUCUGGUAGUCUCUGGCUGCCCGAGUUGUAAUCUAGAGAAGUGUUAUCCGCGCUGGACCGUGUAUAAGUCUCCUGGAAUGGAGCGUCAUAGAGGGUGAGAAUCCCGUCUUUGACACGGACUACCAGGGCUUUGUGAUGCGCUCUCAAAGAGUCGAGUUGUUUGGGAAUGCAGCUCUAAAUGGGUGGUAAAUUCCAUCUAAAGCUAAAUAUUGGCGAGAGACCGAUAGCGAACAAGUACCGUGAGGGAAAGAUGAAAAGAACUUUGGAAAGAGAGUUAAACAGUACGUGAAAUUGUUGAAAGGGAAACGCUUGAAGUCAGUCGCGUUGGCUAGGAAUCAGCCUUGCUUUUGCUUGGUGUACUUCCUUGUUGACGGGUCAGCAUCAAUUUUGACCGGUGGAAAAAGACUAGUGGAAUGUGGCAUCUUCGGAUGUGUUAUAGCUGCUAGUUGUAUACAUCGGUUGGGAUUGAGGAACUCAGCACGCCGAAAGGUCGGGGUUCGCCCACGUUCGUGCUUAGGAUGCUGGCAUAAUGGCUUUAAUCGACCCGUCUUGAAACACGGACCAAGGAGUCUAACAUGCCUGCGAGUGUUUGGGUGGAAAACCCGAGCGCGUAAUGAAAGUGAAAGUUGAGAUCCCUGUCGUGGGGAGCAUCGACGCCCGGACCAGACCUUCUGUGACGGAUCCGCGGUAGAGCAUGUAUGUUGGGACCCGAAAGAUGGUGAACUAUGCCUGAAUAGGGUGAAGCCAGAGGAAACUCUGGUGGAGGCUCGUAGCGAUUCUGACGUGCAAAUCGAUCGUCAAAUUUGGGUAUAGGGGCGAAAGACUAAUCGAACCAUCU
This 903-nucleotide ribosomal RNA is filed under the name Clitopilus prunulus. Its description in RNAcentral is "partial large subunit ribosomal RNA". It matches the Rfam family "Eukaryotic large subunit ribosomal RNA", at positions 55 to 945 of the family's 3401-position model. Lineage: Eukaryota; Fungi; Basidiomycota; Agaricomycetes; Agaricales; Entolomataceae. The record is from RNAcentral.